RNAcentral lists this ribosomal RNA (442 nucleotides) under uncultured bacterium. Its description in RNAcentral is "partial 16S ribosomal RNA". It matches the Rfam family "Bacterial small subunit ribosomal RNA", at positions 338 to 795 of the family's 1533-position model. The record is from RNAcentral.
CCUACGGGAGGCAGCAGUGGGGAAUAUUGGGCAAUGGGCGCAAGCCUGACCCAGCAACGCCGCGUGAAGGAAGAAGGCUUUCGGGUUGUAAACUUCUUUUGUCAGGGAAGAGUAGAAGACGGUACCUGACGAAUAAGCCACGGCUAACUACGUGCCAGCAGCCGCGGUAAUACGUAGGUGGCAAGCGUUGUGCGGGUUUACUGGGUGUAAAGGGCGUGUAGCCGGGUUGACAAGUCAGAUGUGAAAGCCUGCGGCUUAACCGUAGAACUGCAUUUGAAACUGGUAGUCUUGAGUACUGGAGAGGCAGACGGAAUUCCUAGUGUAGCGGUGAAAUGCUUAGAUAUUAGGAGGAACACCAGUGGCGAAGGCGGUCUGCUGGACAGCAACUGACGGUGAGGCGCGAAAGCGUGGGGAGCAAACAGGAUUAGAUACCCUAGUAGUC